RNAcentral lists this unclassified non-coding RNA (226 nucleotides) under Borreliella garinii. Its description in RNAcentral is "partial 5S-23S ribosomal RNA intergenic spacer". Lineage: Bacteria; Pseudomonadati; Spirochaetota; Spirochaetia; Spirochaetales; Borreliaceae. The record is from RNAcentral.
CUGCGAGUUCGCGGGAGAGUAAGUUAUUGCCAGGGUUUUUAUUUUAUACUUUAAACAUUGAUUUUAUUUUUUAUGUUUUUAGAUGUUCAUGUUUUUGAAUGUUUUAUUUAAAUAAUAUAAAAAAUAAAAUAUAUAUUGACAUGGAUUAAACAAAGAUAUAUAUUAUUCUAUGUUGCAUAAGCAAAUUGGCAAAAUAGAGAUGGAAGAUAAAAAUAUGGCCAAAGAC